RNAcentral lists this ribosomal RNA (492 nucleotides) under uncultured bacterium. RNAcentral's name for it is "partial 16S ribosomal RNA". It matches the Rfam family "Bacterial small subunit ribosomal RNA", at positions 29 to 507 of the family's 1533-position model. The record is from RNAcentral.
AGUGAACGCUGGCGGUAGGCCUAACACAUGCAAGUCGAACGGCAGCACAGUAAGAGCUUGCUCUUACGGGUGGCGAGUGGCGGACGGGUGAGGAAUACAUCGGAAUCUACUUUUUCGUGGGGGAUAACGUAGGGAAACUUACGCUAAUACCGCAUACGACCUACGGGUGAAAGCAGGGGAUCUUCGGACCUUGCGCGAUUGAAUGAGCCGAUGUCGGAUUAGCUAGUUGGCGGGGUAAAGGCCCACCAAGGCGACGAUCCGUAGCUGGUCUGAGAGGAUGAUCAGCCACACUGGAACUUAGACACGGUCCAGACGCCUACGGGAGGCAGCAGUGGGGAAUAUUGGACAAUGGGCGCAAGCCUGAUCCAGCCAUACCGCGUGGGUGAAGAAGGCCUUCGGGUUGGAAAGCCCUUUUGUUGGGAAAGAAAAGCAGCAGGUUAAUACCCCGCUGUUCUGACGGUACCCAAAGAAUAAGCACCGGCUAACUUCGUG